RNAcentral lists this ribosomal RNA (378 nucleotides) under uncultured bacterium. RNAcentral describes it as "bacterial SSU rRNA". It matches the Rfam family "Bacterial small subunit ribosomal RNA", at positions 95 to 508 of the family's 1533-position model. The record is from RNAcentral.
GCGGCGGACGGGUGAGUAACGCGUGGGAAUUUUCCUCAAGGUACGGAACAACUCAGGGAAACUUGGGCUAAUACCGUAUGAUGUCUAGCGACCAAAGAUUUAUCGCCUUGGGAUAAGCCCGCGUCAGAUUAGGUAGUUGGUGGGGUAACGGCUCACCAAGCCUGCGAUCUGUAGCUGGUCUGAGAGGACGAUCAGCCACACUGGGACUGAGACACGGCCCAGACUCCUACGGGAGGCAGCAGUGGGGAAUCUUGCGCAAUGGGCGAAAGCCUGACGCAGCCAUGCCGCGUGAAUGAUGAAGGUCUUAGGAUUGUAAAGUUCUUUCGCCCGUGACGAUGAUGACGGUAACGGGAGAAGAAGCCCCGGCUAACUUCGUGC